Maniola jurtina (meadow brown) is the source of this 179-nucleotide long non-coding RNA. RefSeq lists it as uncharacterized. NCBI's taxonomy places the organism in Eukaryota, Metazoa, Arthropoda, Insecta, Lepidoptera, Nymphalidae. The transcript is spliced from 3 exons. The record is from RefSeq and is a predicted model, not a curated record.
UGGUUUGUCCGUCAGUCACGUCGCAACGGAGCAAUCGGAUGGCGUGAUUUAUUGCAUGGGUAUAAUUAAAGACCUGGAGAAGUCACAUAGGCUACUUUUUAUCCCGGAAAAUCAAAGAGUUCCCACGGGAUUUCGAAAAACCUAAAUCCACGCGGGCGAAGUCGCGGGCAUCGGCUAGU